This is a long non-coding RNA of Rhipicephalus sanguineus (brown dog tick), 658 nucleotides long. RefSeq lists it as uncharacterized. The record is from RefSeq and is a predicted model, not a curated record. The transcript has 6 exons. Lineage: Eukaryota; Metazoa; Arthropoda; Arachnida; Ixodida; Ixodidae.
UCCCCGGCUAUAUGUAUUGAUCGCUAUUUUCAGAAUUCACUCUGCACAGAAGAUACCUUCAAGAUAGAAAGCACUGGAAGCAAGUUUUACAUCUUUUUUGUAUUGCCUAAAGAAAAAGCCUAUUCAUCGACUUAUCGAAGUGGUGACGCCCGUGCCAGCAGUUCCUGCUGCUAUCGCCGACUGUUCCUGGCGUGCCAUCUGCCUACUUCCGCGUGACGUACAGUGACGUUUUUCCGUGGCUUCCUUCCUGGCUUUUGGCGGGCGUUUCUCACACUUUGGCAGCGGCGGCAGGCUGUGCGCACACGCGUACUCAAGCUCAUUGCAUCGAUUUUUUCAGUUCACUCUCGCGGACAUGGGGACGUAUCAGUUGGUUUUACGACCUGUAUACGAGUACCCAUGGAGACCCCUGACGGAACCAAAUAUCUAGGCUGCAAUUAUACCUGCAAAGAAUCAUCUCCUUGUGGAAUACAGAGUCUUACACUUCCUACUGGUGUUUUUCGGCACAUGACGCCUCAGGUCCGUUAUACGUGCUUAUUAGGCGAAUGCGACGAAGCAAACGAAUGUAUUCCUCUGGGUCUGUUCGUCGACUGCUGGAAGCCUUAAAUUCAACUAUAAAUCAAUAACGUCUGAAAUCAUCUCUGUCUGAAUUAAACUGGAG